AGCGCCCGGACGACGUCCCAAAAUGGGGGGCGUAGCUCCUCGUCUUCAAUUGCUGCGUCUGCGGGCCGGGGGCGGGGGGCGCAGGCAGGAAAACGCCCCGAGCGGCGUUCUGAUUGGAUGACGGCUCUGACGGUCUCGGCAGGAUUGAUACUCCAAGAAGCCCUGACACAUAGCUUCUGCUGAUUUGCUGUGUUGGAAAGGUGCAGCUGGGCUUGAUGAAGAUUAUACAACCAUGCCUAGAGGAGAGCUGAUAGGAGUACCAGGUGAAGAGGGUGUUGGGAGUCUGGAAGAGUGCCAUCAGCCUCUAAUGAGAUACAGAAUUCUUGGAAAAAAAGUGGAAGCUCUGCGAUGUACCUGGACUAACUUAGCUGCUCUGCUUUAUGUGUGGCAUUUUAUCAGGUAUUAUUCAGAAGCCAUGAAAGAUCAUGAAAAUCAUUGUGAAAAGACAUCACUACUGUAUUUAUGCUGAUUUGCCAGAACUGAAGAUUUGGCUGAUUCUGAUUUAGUGCUGUACAACUUCCAGCUUCUCUAUGUGUGAGAGAAAAGAGAUUGCUAAACAGUAAAAAUCCAACCCUUUUUGCUAUAUUGAUAGAAAAACAGACCUCUCUGGAGAACUCGAUUUUGUAAUUGUUUGUGCAUUAGGCAGAACAUUAAUUGGUUUGGCAUGUUAGUUGACUUAUAAUUGGGAAAUCUAUUGGAAGGAAGCAUAUUCCGUAAGCACAUAAUUACAGACAGUGCCUUUCCAAAUUACUAAGAUUUACAUGCCCCAGGCAUGCCUUGAAUGUUAAAUUUCAUUUAUUCUAUGCUUUAUAUUGUAAAUCUCUUGUGCUUUUUUUUUUCUUUUGGUCAGGUUUGGGUUUAGGAAGAGGGUGAUUGGGCCCUGGAACAGGCUUCCCAGGGCAGUGGGCAUGGCCUCAAGCUGCCUGAGUUCAAGGAACGUUUGGAAAAUGCUCUCAGACGUAGGGUUUGGAUUUUGGGUGUUGCUGUGUGGAGCCAGGAGUUGGACUUGAUGAUCCUUAUGGGUCCCUUCCAACUCGGGGUAUUCUGUGAUUCUAACCUGUUCCAACUCACCUCUGGAAGAACACUUUCAGAUCUUUAGAUUAAAGAAGACAUUCAUUAAUGAACUGAAAUUUUAAACUGCCAAUAUUUACGAGAGAUUAAGAAAAACAUGAGAGCAUGAGUCACUGUAAAAAAGCACUAAGUAACCCAGAAGAAGAAAAGAAAGAAAAAAAAGAUUCAAUCAGUUGGUCAAAAUCUUUGGCAAGCAGGUGGAAGGAUGUAUGCACACAGUAUAGGUAGAAAAUUAGUUAUGAUUCUGUAAAGUGAUAGAGUAGCAAAAAUAGCAGUAUAAUUUUGGGUUGCUGCUUGAGUGGAGAGAUGAUCGUUGCUGAGGAAGCAUCACCACCUGUGAUCAGAGGUAAGUAGUGAACGUAAGCAUGAAUUACAAGUUGUGUGUAUGGCACUUCCAU
RNAcentral lists this long non-coding RNA (1469 nucleotides) under Chrysolophus pictus (golden pheasant). RNAcentral's name for it is "lncRNA (ENSCPIG00010004828.1)". The record is from RNAcentral. Lineage: Eukaryota; Metazoa; Chordata; Aves; Galliformes; Phasianidae.